CCUUGUCAGAAGUAUCAGGAGUUGCCAGCAGCGGUCAGCAGAGGCGAGCGGAGGCAGGCAGAGGCCAGCAGAGGCCAGUAGAGGCCAGCAGAGGCAUGUAGAGGCAUGUAGAGACCAGCAGGAGCAAGCAGUAACAUAUAGUAAUCGUUAUACCUUGUC
Molecule: long non-coding RNA, 159 nt
Organism: Colletes gigas
Lineage: Eukaryota; Metazoa; Arthropoda; Insecta; Hymenoptera; Colletidae
Exons: 3
Source: RefSeq, a predicted model, not a curated record